GCGGUUUCAGCUCAAUAGAGUGAGCAGCACACGCCUCAUCAGACUGUCCGCGGCUUCCACUCCCAUAUCGUAUGAGAAACACGGUUUGAAGUUCUGCUUGUUCUCCUGAGGGACACGUCAAAGACGUCUGCGCUCUGUGAUCUGUGUAUUGGUUUUAAGUACCUGUAGAAGGUCCAACUUGACACACAACUUGAAUCCAACCACACUGAACACUGACUCCAGGGACAGACGAGCCUGAAGGACACAGCUGUGAUGACCAUGUUCUGUCUCUUAUGGCAAAGCAGAAAUAUUAAACACUGGGUUGACCAGCAUAAAGCUGCAGAUCUCCACCAUGUUGCAACUGAGGACAUCAGGAGCUGCAUUAAUGAGGAGCAGAAGCGCACUGUUAUGAAUGUUUUGUGUUGUGUAUGAAGCACCACAUAUUUCAGAUAGAACCAAUGUACUGGGGUCUGGGUUUGUAUCCUAAUGGUUAAAUGCACAUACUUUAAAUCGCUUUUGAUAAAACGUGAGAAAGAAAUACAACAUUGUAUACAUAGAUAAAAUGUCUUU
Pleuronectes platessa (European plaice) is the source of this 549-nucleotide long non-coding RNA. RefSeq lists it as uncharacterized. The transcript has 3 exons. Lineage: Eukaryota; Metazoa; Chordata; Actinopteri; Pleuronectiformes; Pleuronectidae. The record is from RefSeq and is a predicted model, not a curated record.